RNAcentral lists this transfer RNA (67 nucleotides) under Elimaea berezovskii. RNAcentral's name for it is "tRNA-Asp". Lineage: Eukaryota; Metazoa; Arthropoda; Insecta; Orthoptera; Tettigoniidae. The record is from RNAcentral.
GAGAAAUUAGUUAAAGCAUAACAUUAGUAUGUCAUACUAAAAUUAUUAUCAUUAUUAAUAUUUCUCU